This 3995-nucleotide long non-coding RNA is filed under the name Marmota monax (woodchuck). The record is from RNAcentral. Lineage: Eukaryota; Metazoa; Chordata; Mammalia; Rodentia; Sciuridae.
CAAACUGUGUGAUUUACAGCAGAAACGUAUUGUCCCCCAGUUCUGGAGGCCAAGAGCACUGGGGGACAAUACGUUUGCUUCCUCUCCUUGUUCAGGAGGCUUCUUUCCUGCCUCUUCGCAGCUGCUGGUGGUUUGUUGGCCAUCCUGAGUGUUCUUUAACUUGCAAGCACAUUGCUCUGGACUCUUCCUUCAUUAUCACGUGGCAUUCUCCGUGUGUGUCUCUCUUUGACAUCUUAUAAGAGCACAGUCUCAUUGGAUGAAGGGCCCAACCUACUCCAGGAUGACCUCUGCUUAACUAAUUAUAUCUGUAACAACCCACUUUCCAAACAAAGUCACACUCUGAGAUGCCAGGGUAAGCAUUAGGUCUUCAAAAUAUCUUUGCUUUGGAGGUCACAAUUCAACCCAUAACACUGCGUUGCUUGUUCCUAGUGACAAAGCUGAGGACUUGCAUAGGUCUAGGAGUGGGUGUGAACUGUGUCCUGUGGUGCUGCCUGGCAGUGUCAGGGAGAAGGGUCAGGAGGAGCACAUAACCUCUGUUUCUGGCAUUCUCUAGAGAAGUGUGCUGCAGUGGGGUCCAGCUGUGCUCCAGGGGAGGAGCUUCACCUUCCUGUCACUCUCCAUAUCUUAGAUCGAGUGGGGCAGACUGUUGACAGAGGGGAACAAACAGACCAUCUGGGUUCCAGGCAGACUUAACUGUUGAGGAACAUUGGGAACUCCACCUGCCCUUCAGCUGGAGGCCUUAGAGCUCCCCAGAUUCAUGGGAACCUGAAUUAUUGGGCAGUUUACCCAAAGGGAGGUAGCAGGGCAUCCCUUUCCCCUGGGAGAGGGGAGCUACUGGGCUCAGUUAGCUUAUUGCCAGGCAAUCCAGAGAGAGUCCCAGGUGCCAGAUUUUGACAACCUGCUUGUUUCCAAACCUAGUAAAACUUGGACCCUAUGUUGCCAACUGGUCUGCUUCUCUAGUUUGGGAAUCCAUUGGCAGCCUGUAGAUGUGUUUUGUUCACAGUGGCUGCUAUGUGCAAUGUCUUUAUAUUAUUUUUUGUAUAAGCAAAUACUUUCACAUGCUUGAAAAAUCAAAUCACUGUAGAAAGAUAUUUAGUGAGAUCUUAUCCUUGUCUCCAUCUGUCCAUUCUGCCCCUGCCCCAGUAACCCCUUUUAUUACUUUCUUAUGUAUAUGUUCAGGGCUUCUUUUUGCAAAUAUGAGCCUAUUCAAAUACAUAAUAUGAAUCCUUUCCUUUCUUACAUAAUUUUAGCAUACUGUACACACUUUAAACAAAACCUUGUGCUUUUAUUUCACUUAUCUUGUUGGUUUUUUAUUCCUCUAUCAAUCUUUCCAGAAUUUCCUCAUUCUUUCUUACAGAGCCACAGCAUCCCAUUGUAUGGAUGCGUACAAUUUACUUAAACACAGAUAGUUUUCAGUCAUUCAUUAUUACAAAUAAUUCUGCAAUGAAUUUGCUUGCCAUUUUGUACAUGAUAUUUGAACAUGCAUAAUAUUAAAAAAUUCUGAGUUAUCUUUGAAUUAUCAAAAAGCCUCUAAACAGUAGGUUCAAUGACUGUGUGUUGACAGCUGUUUGGGAGGAGUAGUAUCUGUCCCUUUAGGUAGGACUUGCCUGCUCCCAUCUGACAUCUUCCCACCACCUCUCACUGUCUCUCAUGAAGCUCAAAGGUUGAUUCCCAUUUAGUGUCACAAUUAUGUUGUUUCUCUUACAGAGAUUAAGAAGCAAGGGAAAUCACUCUUAUAUUCAAGUUUCUUCAAAGUAGGAAGUGAGAGCCAUGGAGUCUGUCUUUUCCAGCCCAGAGGGAAAGGGUGGAUUUCCAUGUGAAUAUGAUUCUGCUUCAUUUGCACCUGACUACUUGGCCCAUGUCAGUUACAUGUUUGGACACUUUUGCGUUUGACCUGCCUUGUUAGAUUCAUGCCAUUCCCUCAUUGCAAAAGCAGAAGGGUAGGAACUCAGUUCUCUGGUUGCUUUAGCACUGAGCAGGUGCUUGAGAUCAGCAAUAAACAAUGAACGAGACCAUGAAAAGCAUUGUUGUAUUACACAUAUGAUCUCACCUGAAACCCAUGAGGAGGUGGUAUUACUAUCCUCAUUUUACAGAUAAGGAAGCAUCAGCAGAGUGAAAAAUUUUCACCACUACCCUUAACUCAUACAUGGUAAAACUAGGAUUGAAAUGCAUGCAGUUCUGGCUAAAACUUGGUGUUUAAGCCAAUAUAUCAUAUUGCCUUUAUAAAAAAAUAGGUGUGGUUUAUAGUUACCUUUCACACCUUCUAAGUAUGUCAUCAUUAAUGUUGUGGUGAUAAUGGGCAUGACUAAGGUUAAAGCAUCUCUGAAAACAGGUGACAUAGCCACAUGACCCAGAGAAAGCAUUUUUGUUCUGUCAAGGGUGACAGCUCACCCUUCAUGGCCUUUCACAUUUUCUCAAUUGGAUUAUCUCUACCACCACUUUUUGCUCUUCAGACCCCAAACACUUAUUGAACAACCUCUGAAGGCACAAUGUUGGGUUUGAGAGAUAAGAUGAAUAAGCCAUACCCUGGUGCUUGGAGCCAGGUUAGGAUGGGACAACAGAAAGCUUCCACCAGGUAAGUGUAGUAUUGGAGUGAGGUAGACAUGGCAGGCUGGGUCCUGAGUGCAAAAAAAGACAUAAAUUUACAUGGAGUAACAAGGUGGGGGUUUCCAGCUGUCUUGGGUCUUCAUCAUUUUACUUUGCUUGAUGAAGGAAGGAAGUGAGGGCCCGGAAGUGGAGGUUUAAGCUAAGGUAUUGAGCCAUCAUUCUGCCCACAGCCCACGGUGACUGUGACAACAUGAUAAUGACUGCAGCUCUGGAGGCUGUGAGCUCUUUGGAGACUGGCCCAGUCAGGGUUGAAAAGUGGGCUGAAGGAAACUGCCUUUCCCUUCUGCUCUCAGCUUUUCUCAUUCCUGGAUAUUCAUUCAGCCUGUCAACUGGUGGCCUCAUUGUAGGACAUUCACCCUCUUCCCCAGUGAAGAAAUUCUAAACUCAGCCAACUGGGGUGGGGUGGGACCAGGAGAGCACCAUUCACAGGUCACCAUAUUCCACUGAAAAAAUUGCAGCUUAGCAAAAGGAUUUGUCAGUCAGGGAUUCUUUCAUCAUGCUUUCCAUUGUUUCUGCUUUUUCUUCGUCUCUCUCAAGUUGCAUGUAAAACAUAUGUCACCUCUGUUGUUAUCUUAGACUGACUGGGGUUUUGCUUUUUGUUUAUUCUUCAACUGAGUGUGGUGCAAACCACAGCAGCCAACAGGCAGAGGAGGUCCGGAGGGAACCUGUCACUUCUCAUUCAAAUGCUACCUAUUGGUCUUAGGGCAAAUGGUGUUAGUAGUGACAUUGUACAAAACAAAGACAUUGAAACUCAGUCCCUAGUGAUUUCUGGAGCCCUAUUGCUUGUGUCUCUGAUGGAUGAGUAAUUAGGAACUAGUUGUUUACAGUUAAAAGGGAGAAUUGGGAGUCCUUAUGGAAUUCAGAUGUUUCUAGGCAUUUCUAGGUCCACAGCUACAUGUGCUUCCCUGUGCUGACAGCUGCAUGGUGAUAAUAUCCCCCAUACCUUUCUUGACUUAGGAAACUAGUGACAGGAAAGGGAGCAAAAGAUACAGCUGACACACCCUCUUGGGCCAGGCAAAGGAAUGAGGUUGGCCUUGAUCAAUAUUCUCAAUGAGGUCAUUACUGCCCCCUAGAGGGGAUUUGCAAAUUUUCAGAGUUAAACCAGAAGCUCAGUAAUUUAGGAAAGAGAAGUUUAAAAGGAGUAGAAACAAAGUCUUGAGAUGUUGAAAUGUUGAGAUAGCUCCCCUACUUCAUGCAUUCUGUUUAGGUGAAGCAUUCCAGACAGACAUUGACCUGAAGAGGGCUCCAGUGUGGUGUGUAGUGACUGUGAGAGCAGGAGACCACUGGCAGAUUUGUAGCUUGGAGACUUUGUCUAACAGACAUGGGACCGAAUAUGAUUAACUUAGCAGAAGUAAAUAAAAUGUUACCAUUUCAAUGAACUUUGUUAU